GACGAACGCUGGCGGCGUGCUUAACACAUGCAAGUCGAACGGAAAGGCCCUGCUUUUGUGGGGUGCUCGAGUGGCGAACGGGUGAGUAACACGUGAGUAACCUGCCCUUGACUUUGGGAUAACUUCAGGAAACUGGGGCUAAUACCGGAUAGGAGCUCCUGCUGCAUGGUGGGGGUUGGAAAGUUUCGGCGGUUGGGGAUGGACUCGCGGCUUAUCAGCUUGUUGGUGGGGUAGUGGCUUACCAAGGCUUUGACGGGUAGCCGGCCUGGGAGGGUGACCGGCCACAUUGGGACUGAGAUACGGCCCAGACGCCUACGGGAGGCAGAAGUGGGGAAUAUUGCACAAUGGGCGGAAGCCUGAUGCAGCAACGCCGCGUGCGGGAUGACGGCCUUCGGGUUGUAAACCGCUGUCGCCUGUGACGAAGCGGGAGUGACGGUAAUGGGUAAAGAAGCACCGGCUAACUACGUG
Molecule: ribosomal RNA, 468 nt
Filed under: uncultured bacterium
Lineage: Bacteria
Description: partial 16S ribosomal RNA
Rfam family: Bacterial small subunit ribosomal RNA
Source: RNAcentral